RNAcentral lists this long non-coding RNA (477 nucleotides) under Phaseolus vulgaris (common bean). RNAcentral's name for it is "long non-coding RNA (PVUL_LNC002096)". Lineage: Eukaryota; Viridiplantae; Streptophyta; Magnoliopsida; Fabales; Fabaceae. The record is from RNAcentral.
GACUAUUGCCAUGGGAUUUCUCAGGAUUAAGAAUUCUCACUCUUUUUUGGCAUGCACUAGAAGGUAUUCUGUAAAAUCAGAAUUUAAUCUAUCUGAGGUGGUAUAUGGAUUUAGAUAUGUGUGAUGAUGAUAAUUUGAAUAAUGAAAAUCUUCAUUUGAUGCUGUCUUUAGGUACAUUUGUCCCAUCUGAAGAGGUUUCAUGCCAAGCCAAACCUCAAAGAUUCCCCUUCCACUGAGAAUGCAUUCGCUUUAAACAAUAACAUGCAUAUAGCUUAAAAAAGAACAAUGGUCUCUACUUGAUAUGAUAAAUUUCGCUGAAAGUCUGAUCUAAAACUGUGAAGACAUCAUCAAGUAUCAACUGAUGAUCCCUCGGAACAACACGGUACCCUCCAUCACAAGCCUCAAAAAGUUGUAAUAUGCAGCCUUUGAGAUGCUGGAAUAUCUGAACUUACAUUUUAUUUCCAGUUUAGAUUUCAU